GGAAUCUCUAAAUUGUAGUGCUGAAUAAUAAAAAUGAUAAAAAUUCCCUCACACGCUUACCCUAUUCAUCAAUUCAAUAAACAUUUCAGCAAUUUAAGCAAAUUAGAACGUCACAUCAGAUUUAAAUACCAGAAAAAACAAAUACAGAUUUCAGCAAUUUCAGCAUCAAGUCGAUAAACAUUUCAGCAACUUCUGCAUCAAGAAAACUCAACAUUAUCAGCUCAGAUUUCAAGUAUUAUAAAAUCAAAUUUCAAACAUUAUCAGAUUAUUUUGUGUACAUUUGAUUCAAGCAUUACCACAUCAGAAAACAACACAUGGUCAUCUGAAUUCAGAAUAGAAAAAAAAAAAGCAAAACAGCCAUAGCGGUUCAGAGGAAAAAGAAAAGAAAAAAAAAAGCUUCUUACAACCUGAGGCAUUUCGGCAUUAUAACAUCUUACUUGCAUCUCUUUAGAGCAUUUACUUGCAUCUCUUUAGAGCAUCCACAGUAGGAGUUUUUUCAAAGAGCUUGUAAGCUCUUGUCAUGUGUUGUUCCAACGAUUGUAUGAUUGUGGUGGGUUCCAUAUGUUUUCAACCAAUUAUAAAUAGACAGUUUAUAUAUAAGCUGUAAAAUGAAAAAAAAAUAAUGGUUCACUUUAAUAAACAAAUUGAAAAAGCUCUCCUAUUGUAAUGAUAUAAUGAGUUUUUUCAUGAAAAAACUCUCCUAUUGGGGAUGCUUAUAUUGUUACAACAUUAUACUUUCAAUUUAUAAGACAUUAUACUUGAACAACAACAAUAUCCUGAAUCCUUGAUGAAUAGGGUAAGGGUUUGGUUAGAUGUAUGCACAGGUACCUUCAGUAAGGGCUAGAGAGAGCUUGCUUCCAUGGAUGACCUCCAACAUAUAUAAUAUUAGACCAGAAUGGUACAAAUAGGGAGGAGGAGGAGGAGGAGGAGGAGGCAUAUAGCUUGAAGAGAAAAGGAACUAACUAUACAUGUAUACAUACUAUAAAGGAGGAACUAACUAUAUGGCUUGAAGAGAAAAGGAAAAAAUAGAGUUGAGGAACAAGUAAGGGAAAAAGCAAGCUAAAUUAAAUGUCAU
Molecule: long non-coding RNA, 1075 nt
Filed under: Lactuca sativa (garden lettuce)
Lineage: Eukaryota; Viridiplantae; Streptophyta; Magnoliopsida; Asterales; Asteraceae
Description: long non-coding RNA (LSAT_LNC007183)
Source: RNAcentral